GGGCCUGCUUGGGUCGGGACUGGGUCGGGGUUGGGCUUGGGGGCGCGGGGCGCUGGGCGGCUCGCGCUCGGCCCCCUUCGCGCCCCGAGGCCGUUGGAGGGGCUGGACGGGCCCGGCUGGAGCGGCGCGCGGGGUCGGGCGGGGCCCCCGCACCUCGGACUGGGUUUCUGGGUCCUUUUGGAAAGGCCCUGAACGCGCGGGGGGUGUGGGCAUCGCUGGAUGAGCCGCGCGGAACGAAGCGGUGGAACCCGCGACUGCUGGCUUUUCCCCGAACGUUACUUCCGGCGAGAGAGCAAACUCCUUCAAACCCUUUCCCCUCCGUGCACGCGUCUCCGCGUGUGUGUGUAUUGGGUGCGUGUGCGUCCGGGUGUCUGGGGUCUGGCCUGCCUUGGGGUUACCCAAUGGGAAGAACCCACCGGCAGGAGACGAGUAGGCUCUGGCUCCAUCACUGGACCACCUUGGACAGAUGACUUCACUUUUGUGGUCCCCAGUUGGUUCAGCCGUCUCGAAGUCAGAGGGCGUGCCCAGGAGGAAGCCGCAAGCUGGAAACUACCCCAGGCAGCCAAGGACCUGCCCUGAUUCUUGGGAAGAGCCUGCCUGCGGUUGUAAUGUUACGCAAAAGGCUGGCAUCUCCCCCUGCGGCUCCUGAAGGCUGCUCAGGUGUGUGCACACGGGAACGCUGCACCAGCCCGGCCCUGACCUCUAGGUAGGGGGAAGGUCUGUGUGCUGCCAGCUAUGUUUGUUCAAAGCCAAGCCUCUGCAGGCGCCUGAGUCUUUUGGAGAUGUGAGUUCUUUUUUGGCAUUGCUGCAGGAGCUGGCAGGAGGGUCAGCUUGGGAUAGAGGCCUGAUGGGAGGCAGCCUGCCAGCCGCAUGAUGUGGCUCUGGACGCCUGGGACAUUGCUAAUUCGGAACUGACGCCCACAGUUAGGAGAGGGGCCUUGCAAUGAGUGGUGCUGGUCUUGUCUUUCUGUACCUAGGACAAAGGAGGAGAGGCCUCUGUCUCCUGGGCCUGUGUGGGGUGGGUGGGGUGGGUGAGUGUCUUCAGUGAGAACGAGAAGGGGCUGGCUAAUGUGGGGACCCAGGACAUCAGAAGCCAUCUGUGGAGGCCUCCAGCUCCAUCCUUGUUGCCCUCAGCAACCACUGUUCCUGUUCUUGCCCACCCGGGUGGGAUUUCCUCCCCUGCAGCCACCUUGAUGUGGUGUGGUUGGCCCCAGUUCCAGAAGGGCACAGCAGGUGGGUGCAUCUCUCAACCAAGGGAGGGAGGUUUCCUUGACCAAACUUCAGUCAGGCUCCUGAACUGGCUCCUAGGCCCAUCUGUGCACCUCCUUGUAAAUCCCAGUUUUAGCAAAAGCGCUUCCCCUCGGUAUCUGAUCAGGUUCUUCUUCUUCUUCGAGAUUUUAUCUAUUUAUUUGAGAGAGAGAGCACAUGGGGUGGAGGGGGAGCAGAGGGGGAAGCAGGCUCCCCACCGAGCAGGGAGCCCGACAUAGGGCUCCAGCCCAGGACCCCAAGAUCAUGUUGUGAGUGGAAGGCAUCUGGAUGGUUAACUGACUGAGCCUCCCAGGGGCCCCCUCUGAUCAGGUUCUCUAUCUUCUCCUCCCCCCCGCCCCCCUGCUGAUGUCUGAAUCCCCUGACCUGUCCUUGGCCAGAAUCCUGGCAGGUUGGUUGAACCAGAACCCCCCUCACCCCUGAUGAUUUUUUCUUGUGAAGCAGUCGGGCAUUCCCACUGACCCCCACUUGCAGCUUGGCUAUUGUAGAUCAAGUUUUCCUGGACCCUCAUAGGGUCCCUGUCAGUUUAUCUUUAAACUGAUAAAGAUUAACAGGAGAAAGCCCAUGCAUUUGUUUAAUUUUAUAAGCUUCACCUGACAUGGGAGACUUCAUAAGGAAAUGACCCGGAGAAACAGUUAAACCUGCGUAUUUUGUGCUUGGUUGGAUGGGGACUGGAUAGCUGUGGGAGAUUGUGGCACGUUGAGGUGUACGAGGCUGGUGAAGUGAACUGGGGGUGCCCAUUUGUUGGGCUUCUUCCCUUUGUCUCUGGCACAAGGCUGUUCCUGUUCUCUGGGGACAGGGAGGGUGCCUCUUACAGGAGGGUUUGAUGGCCUGUUUCAGGGGACAAGGGCGGGGAGGUUAGAGUGACCGUCCUGCUUCUGCUGUUUUCUCAGACCCCUUCACCUUGAACUAUGCAGUGUGCAAGGCGUCAUCGCUGGGGGUAGCAUGUUCUGAACCCCAUUACCAUAGGGGUCUCACUUACCCAUGCCGCAACCAGGCCUGAGCCCCCACCACGAAAUUCCAUCGCAGUGGUCUGUGUACGUACCGUGAUGGUCCUGAAUAACGUGUGCUUACUGUCUUCACUGGUUAAAUGUGUCCUUUCUACAAAAUUCUGGUGAGCUGACAUACAGUGUCCCAUUAGUCUCGGGGGCACAAAGUCACAGGCCAGCAGUUUCACACUUUCCUCACUGCUCGUGCGGUCAGUGUCCUCCUGGCCCCCACCGCCUAGCUCAUCCUCACCCCUCUGGUAACUGCCUGGUUGUUCUCUGUUGUUAGGAGUCUGUUUCUUGGUUUGUCUCUUUUUUCUUUUGUUUAUUUGUUUUGUUUCUUAAAUUCUGCAUAUGAGUGGAUUCAUAUAUUUAUCUUUUUCUGAUUUAUUUUACUUAGCACUGUAAUAUGUAGCUCUAUCCAUGCCAUUGCAAAUGGCAAGAUUUCAUUCUUUUCGGUGGCUGAGUCAUAUCCUGCUGUAGAGAUCUGCCGCUUCUCCUUUACCUGCUCGUCAGUCCGUGGACCAUGGACACUUGGGCCACUUCCAUAAUUUGGCUAUUGUAAAUAAUGUUGCAAUAAACCCAGGGUGCAUGUA
This is a long non-coding RNA of Mustela lutreola (European mink), 2848 nucleotides long. RefSeq lists it as uncharacterized. The transcript is spliced from 2 exons. The record is from RefSeq and is a predicted model, not a curated record. Lineage: Eukaryota; Metazoa; Chordata; Mammalia; Carnivora; Mustelidae.